UACGGAGGGUGCAAGCGUUAUCCGGAAUCACUGGGUUUAAAGGGGUGCGUAGGCGGCACAAUAAGUCAGAAGUGAAAGGCUGUAGCUUAACUAUGGAAUUGCUUUUUGAUACUGUUGAGCUUGAAUUUGGGGUUGAGGUUAGCGGAAUGAGUCAUGUAGCGGUGAAAAUGCAUAGAUAUGACUUAGAAACACCAAAUUGCGAAGGCAGCUAACUGGGCCUUGAUUGACGCUGAGGCACGAAAGCGUGGGGGAGCGAACAGGAUUAGAUACCCCCGUAGUCC
RNAcentral lists this ribosomal RNA (281 nucleotides) under uncultured bacterium. Its description in RNAcentral is "partial 16S ribosomal RNA". It matches the Rfam family "Bacterial small subunit ribosomal RNA", at positions 524 to 796 of the family's 1533-position model. The record is from RNAcentral.